AGUAAAAGUCGUAACAAGGUCUCCGUUGGUGAACCAGCGGAGGGAUCAUUACUGAGUUUCUACUCAAAAACCCAUUGUGAACUUUACCAUUGUUGCUUCGGCGAGAGGCCUAAACCCCCUCUUGCCGAAGGUAUAAACUCUUUACGUAUGUGUUGUGGCAUAUCUGAGUAAAAGAAUUUAAAUAUUCAAAACUUUCAGCAACGGAUCUCUUGGUUCUGGCAUCGAUGAAGAACGCAGCGAAAUGCGAUAAGUAAUGUGAAUUGCAGAAUUCGGUGAAUCAUCGAAUCUUUGAACGCAUAUUGCGCCCGCCGGCAUUCCGGCGGGCAUGCCUGUUCGAGCGUCAUUUCCACCCUCAGGCCCCGCCUGGUGUUGGGGGCCGGCCGCCCUGGGCGGCCGCCCCCGAAAGACAGCGGCGGGCUCGCCCCGGUCCCGAGCGUAGUAGCAACACGUCGCUCCGGGCGCCGGGCGGGCUCUUGCCGUAAAACCUCCCAUACUUCUAUGGUUGACCUCGGAUCAGGUAGGAAUACCCGCUGAACUUAAGCAUAUCAAUAAGCGGAGGAAAAGAAACCAACAGGGAUGCUCAGUAACG
Molecule: ribosomal RNA, 589 nt
Filed under: uncultured fungus
Lineage: Eukaryota; Fungi
Description: eukaryotic LSU rRNA
Rfam family: 5.8S ribosomal RNA (bases 190-343)
Source: RNAcentral